This 238-nucleotide ribosomal RNA is filed under the name uncultured bacterium. Its description in RNAcentral is "partial 16S ribosomal RNA". It matches the Rfam family "Bacterial small subunit ribosomal RNA", at positions 252 to 504 of the family's 1533-position model. The record is from RNAcentral.
GUGGGGUAAAGGCUUACCAAGGCGACGAUCAGUAGCCGACCUGAGAGGGUGAUCGGCCACAUUGGAACUGAGACACGGUCCAAACUCCUACGGGAGGCAGCAGUGGGGAAUAUUGCACAAUGGGGGGAACCCUGAUGCAGCAACGCCGCGUGAAGGAAGAAGUAUUUCGGUAUGUAAACUUCUAUCGACAGGGAAGAAAGAGAUGACGGUACCUGAAUAAGAAGCACCGGCUAAAUAC